GAUUUUUUUUCUAAUGGACUUAAGCCACUUAUGAGCCUUAUUCAACUGGAUGCAAUGGAUGGGAAGACUAACAGCAUGGAUGAUUCAACAGAUGAAGUUCAGUCUAUGGAUGUGAGUCCAGCUUCAAAGGAAGAACUCAUUUCCAUCCCUGAAUUUUCACCAUUGAAUGAAAUAAUGCCAGGUGUAUCUUUGGACCAAAAUGGAUCAAAUAAUGGCAAGGCUCUUGAAGAUCUACUAGAUUUUACUGGCCAGGCUACUUAUCCUAAACUAUCUAGUGAAAGUCUCAGCAUAGAUGAUUGUAAUAAAAACUUGAUUGAUGGAUUUAAUAGUCCAGGACAGGAGUCAACUUUCAACACCUUAUGUUGACACACACUCCUACUCAGCAAUAAGAGGAAGUAAUUUGGAGGAUAUAAUGGCUCCUGAUGCUGCUGCUGUCGGUAAAAUAAGAGCUUGUCAUUUGAAGAAGCUGCUGCAGUCCUCAACACUGGAUGUCAUCUUAUUCUGCACUGAAUUUACUGUCUUCCCAUAUGUAUUUGUCAAAUAAUUAACCAUUUUUGGUAAAGAGUGGAAUCUUCUGUUUGGACUGAUUUCAGGGCACAUUUGCAGGAAUUGUUUAGAAUAUGAGCUUCAGCUGCUAAGAAAAAUGUGGGCAUACAAUAUCUGUCUCCUCAGGCUCCUGAGCCUGUUCAUUAAUUUUGAAAAAACAUUUAGUUUUAUCAUGGAACUAUCUGGAUUUUUUUUUUAUGGUUGUAAAUGCAUCAUAAUUAAAGUGUGUUCUGCAUUUGCCAUACACCUGUCUUUGAUUUGUUUUUUCCCUUAGGAAAAGGUGAAUUUUUGCUGCCAUUUAUUACAGAUGUUUAAUUGCAAUUUUUUUACAGAGAAGGCAACUGCUGGGAACAAAGGGGCCUUUCCUGCAGAAAGUAAUAUUGCUGCUCCUUAGAACAGUGCAUAUAACAUUAUUUUUAUUCUUUUCUGUCAUUAUGUCAGAUGGAACUGAACUAUACUGGUAAAAGAAAUGAAUAAGAUGGCUCUUUAAAGUGUAAUUUUAACGGUUUAUGGAAAAAAAGGUCAAUGUGUUUAAUCAUAUGUAUUAUAGAAUUGUAUCAUGGCUGAUGAUAUGUUAAUGUUUAAGACACAGCAUUUCUUGUCAGUACCAGGUGGCUUUCUUUUUAGUAAGUUCCUACAAACUCAGCAACAUAUAAUUAACAACAAACCAUACAUAAACAUAGGCAACAGGAUACUUAUAAGGCACAAUCUUGAAUACUGAAAAUUGCACCCAUGCAACUUUAAGCCUCUUGCAAACUCUACAAAUAUGUAUAAGGGAAGGUUUUUGAGAAUAUAUAGACAUUUUGUUUGCCAAAUGAAGGGUGUGAUCAAGCCCACAUUAAGAAUGUUUAAGUGGCACUGAACUAAGUGGAACUUAAUAGUGCUUAACUUGGACUAGAUUGUGCCUAAAACAUUUCAACUUUUGGUGAACUCUUAACUUUUAUGCUGUAUUCUGUGCUGCCUAGAGGGCAGUUCUGUCCCGUUCUUUACAAAAAUAAAUCUGUUUGAAGCUGAUAAAAUUGGAAACUUUUAUAUAUAGGGAUGUGUUAAAAUGUAAUGUAGCUCUGUUCUUGUGAUUCUAAAAAGAACACCUGUUGAAAAGUUAAAGUAGAUUACAAACUACGUGAAAAUAUACAAAAAUGCUUUCAAUAUUUAUGUUGAUGUAUUUCAGCAAAUACUUUCUUGGUAACUGUGCAGUAUGUUGUAGCAUGGUACAGUGUCUUCCAAGUAAAUUCUGCAGUUUUCCUCUUAAACAAUAAAAA
Long non-coding RNA from Gekko japonicus, 1808 nucleotides. RefSeq lists it as uncharacterized. Lineage: Eukaryota; Metazoa; Chordata; Lepidosauria; Squamata; Gekkonidae. The transcript has 3 exons. The record is from RefSeq and is a predicted model, not a curated record.